GAAACAAAUUUAUAAUCAAACAAGUAGACAAUCUAUUCACCUUAAUCACUUUCUCUUACUAUAUUCCUAAAAACCAUAAAUUUCUCCCUUUCUUUUUCUACGCUCAGCCUCUCAAGGCCUCAAGCUGCUACUCCGCCCCACCGCCACGCCGCCACCUUAAGUUCAGCCGCUUAAGAUCUCCUUCAGUCCUUCAGUCUUUCAGUCGCCCAGAUCUCCUACUACUCGUGUCGGUUGUUGAUGACUACAUUUGAGGAAUUCAUUUGAGACGUAUUAUUGGUACUGUUUUUUUUUUUUUUUUUGCUACUUUUUUUAUUAUUUAGUAAAAUGACUUAUGUAAACUUUGUAAUGUUAAGACUUUAUUAAGCUUUGUAUUUUUAAUUUGAGGAGUUGGAUUUGUAAUGCACUAAGACUAAUGCUAGUAUGCCACUACUUCGUAUAUGAGGAGUUAUAUGUUAAA
Chenopodium quinoa (quinoa) is the source of this 457-nucleotide long non-coding RNA. RefSeq lists it as uncharacterized. The record is from RefSeq and is a predicted model, not a curated record. Lineage: Eukaryota; Viridiplantae; Streptophyta; Magnoliopsida; Caryophyllales; Amaranthaceae. The transcript is spliced from 2 exons.